AACGAACGCUGGCGGCAUGCCUAACACAUGCAAGUCGAACGAAGCCUUCGGGCUUAGUGGCGCACGGGUGCGUAACGCGUGGGAACCUACCAUCAGGUUCGGAAUAACAGUUAGAAAUGACUGCUAAUACCGGAUAAUGUCUUCGGACCAAAGAUUUAUCGCCUUUUGAUGGGCCCGCGUAAGAUUAGGUAGUUGGUGGGGUAAAGGCCUACCAAGCCGACGAUCUUUAGCUGGUCUGAGAGGAUGAUCAGCCACACUGGGACUGAGACACGGCCCAGACUCCUACGGGAGGCAGCAGUGGGGGAAUAUUGGACAAUGGGCGAAAGCCUGAUCCAGCAAUGCCGCGUGAGUGAUGAAGGCCUUAGGGUUGUAAAGACUCUUUUACUGGGAGUGAUAAUAGACAGUACCCAGAGAAUAAGACUCCGGCUAACUCCGUGCCAGCAGCGCGGUAAAGUAGACUACUG
Molecule: ribosomal RNA, 464 nt
Filed under: uncultured bacterium
Lineage: Bacteria
Description: bacterial SSU rRNA
Rfam family: Bacterial small subunit ribosomal RNA
Source: RNAcentral